Molecule: long non-coding RNA, 429 nt
Filed under: Bos taurus (domestic cattle)
Lineage: Eukaryota; Metazoa; Chordata; Mammalia; Artiodactyla; Bovidae
Description: long non-coding RNA NONBTAT018768
Source: RNAcentral
UUCUUUCCUAAACCUGAAAGUUGAUGGAGUUUCAACCCUGAAACUGUUACAAGUACUUAUUUUAACCUGAAGUUUGGUCCUGCCCACAAAAAUUAUUAAUCGGCCUUAGAACUGUCUAGCAGCUUUCAGUAAGGCAGAGAGACACAGGCUGGAUGUUUUGGCGCAGUCAUAAUCCUAGGAUUUUCAGUCGACUCUGUUUCAGAGAGAGCUUCUGGAGGCCAGGAAGAGAAUAAUCAUUCACUUUCUGUGUUUCGUGUAUAAAUAGGAUAUGAAGUAUAAUUUUGCCAUUAGGGUAGAUUUUUUUAUUUUCUCCCAAUAAAAUUAUGAGAUAUGCUUUCUAGUUAUUGUCCUGAAGAUUGAACAGUGACAGAUCUUUCCUUAUAAAGUAUAAGAGCCCUUGGGUUUAAAAUUGAAACAAAGCAUAGCGAG